UCCCGGGUAGCUCAGCGGUAGAGCGGCCGGCUGUUAACCGGUUGGUCGCAGGUUCGAAUCCUGCCCCGGGAGCCA
RNAcentral lists this transfer RNA (75 nucleotides) under Pseudomonadota bacterium. Its description in RNAcentral is "tRNA-Asn". It matches the Rfam family "tRNA". From Rfam's summary of the family: Transfer RNA (tRNA) molecules are approximately 80 nucleotides in length. Their secondary structure includes four short double-helical elements and three loops (D, anti-codon, and T loops). Lineage: Bacteria; Pseudomonadati; Pseudomonadota. The record is from RNAcentral. RNAcentral also lists the same sequence under 4 other names.